CCCUUAGAUGUUCUGGGCUGCACGCGCGCUACACUGAUACUUUCAGCGAGUCCACCACCUUGCCUGGGAGGGUGGGGUAACCUCUGGAAAGUGCAUCGUGAUGGGGAUCGAUUAUUGUAAUUAUUAAUCUUCAACGAGGAAUUCCUAGUAAGCAUAAGUCAUCAACUUGUGCUGAUUACGUCCCUGCCCUUUGUACACACCGCCCGUCGCUCCUACCGAUUGGAUGGUCCGGUGAACUUUUUGGACUUGUAGCAAUGUUAUGAGAAAGUUAAGUAAACCUUAUCAUUUAGAGGAAGGAAAUGUCGUAACA
This 310-nucleotide ribosomal RNA is filed under the name uncultured eukaryote. Its description in RNAcentral is "partial 18S ribosomal RNA". It matches the Rfam family "Eukaryotic small subunit ribosomal RNA", at positions 1470 to 1796 of the family's 1831-position model. The record is from RNAcentral.